This 492-nucleotide ribosomal RNA is filed under the name uncultured bacterium. Its description in RNAcentral is "partial 16S ribosomal RNA". It matches the Rfam family "Bacterial small subunit ribosomal RNA", at positions 29 to 507 of the family's 1533-position model. The record is from RNAcentral.
AGUGAACGCUGGCGGUAGGCCUAACACAUGCAAGUCGAACGGCAGCACAGUAAGAGCUUGCUCUUACGGGUGGCGAGUGGCGGACGGGUGAGGAAUACAUCGGAAUCUACUUUUUCGUGGGGGAUAACGUAGGGAAACUUACGCUAAUACCGCAUACGACCUACGGGUGAAAGCAGGGGAUCUUCGGACCUUGCGCGAUUGAAUGAGCCGAUGUCGGAUUAGCUAGUUGGCGGGGUAAAGGCCCACCAAGGCGACGAUCCGUAGCUGGUCUGAGAGGAUGAUCAGCCACACUGGAACUGAGACACGGUCCAGACUCCUACGGGGGGCAGCAGUGAGGAAUAUUGGACAAUGGGCGCAAGCCUGAUCCAGCCAUACCGCGUGGGUGAAGAAGGCCUUCGGGUUGUAAAGCCCUUUUGUUGGGAAAGAAAAGCAGCAGGUUAAUACCCCGCUGUUCUGACGGUACCCAAAGAAUAAGCACCGGCUAACUUCGUG